GAGGGGAAAACAAGAGAGGUUUCUUGGGGAAAAAAAUGCCCUGUGCUUUGUGAGAGACUGAGAGCAUGACUGAGUUGGAGCAAGACUGCCAGUAAUACCUAAAAGUAAAAUUUGUCUUUGUGAGCUAUUUGCAAACUCAAAAGUAUUCAAAAAGACCCACAUAAACAUUUUCAUCUGGAAGGAGAAAAUAAUCAACUGAUCUGGCAUGAAGUUGCUGAGCAAAGCACAUCUUUUUUUAACUCAUUGCAAUAAGAUCAUGACUGUUCUGUAUUUAACAACCUACUCUUCUGGAUAUGUGUGUGUGUGGAAGGCACAUGGAAGUCUAAACAGAUUCCCUCUUACACUCUCUGCAAUCCAUAGAAAACCCAACAGUCCCUCUAAUACAGUCUGUUGCUCUGAAUGAUAUGAUUGAUAAUCACAGAAUGGUUUGGAUUUGAAGGAACUUUAAAGGUCAUCUAGUUCCAACCCCCUGCCAUGGGCAGGGAACCAGCUACACUCAGUUCAGAACAUAAAGGUUAAAUGCAUGAUCUCAGCUGAGGACCAGGAGGGACUUCAAGUGCUGAUCAGAACUUCAGCCCUGCCUGGGGAUCCAUUCCCUGCUCUGCUCUCCACGGAGCUCCACUGCUUCGGUGGUGGAAGGGGUUGGUAGAGGAGAUGUACCACCCACAGGCCUUGGAGACUGGUUAGUUCCUCAUAGCCAAAGUGGCAACAGCAUACAGCAGGAUCUGUACUGCCAGCAUUCCUGGUGGGAAUGGCAGUGGCAGGAGUCCAGAGAAGUGACUGAGCACAGAUGGCUGAUCUGUACAGGGGCAGUAAGUCAGAUGUCCUGAACAUCCCUCGCUGCUGCAGGUGCACGGAUGAACCAACCCAAGGGUAUUUGCCUGGGAGUUUCCAAAGGCCUGGCAGUGGUCACAGUUGAUGCCUACAAGCACUGGAUAUUCCACAAGUUGAAGACGGAAUACUGACUUGUUUACCUGAAGAUAAUAGGACUUCGGGGUAUUUCCUCAGAGAAAAUAUAAAUUUUAAUAUAAUUUCAUAAGCUUUGGAGGUUAGCUUGUCUUGUAGCUUCAGUGAUAUCAAACUUCUUCAAGUAGGAGCUAGAUAGAAAGCUGUUUAGUUUUUGCCAGCGUAUGUAAAACAAGACUUUUCUAUCUGCAUUGUAGAUUGUUUGUGGACACUUCCAGAUUCUUGUGCUUUCUGCAGUCAUUCUGGGGACUGAACUCUCAUUGAUACUGAAAGAGGUUCCGUGAUCAGGACACGGGCAGGAAUUUGAGUGUAGAAGCCCACAGUGUGGUUUGGAGUAGUGAAUUGCUUUUAGUUUGGAGAUGACUGUGGCAGAUGGGAAGAGCAACUGUACAUUAAGGGAACAAUUACAGAUCUUCCUGGAGACAUCAAUGAGAGAUUUGCCUUCAACCUUUCACAGAAGAUUUUUUUAGCUUUAAUUUGGGACAAUAAAGGGGUUUUUCAAAAGCACUAAAAACCAGUGGGAGCUUGUUAGCUGCUCCUUAUGCCUUUAAAAACCCCUACACCAAAAGUGAUAGCUAAGAACAUGAAAUGGAAGUAAAUAAAAUGCAUUUUCAUUGCUGUUUUGAGUUACAUAAUUCUUGUUUCUUGAUUUGUUAGUUGAUACGAAUUUACAUGGAUUUAAUCUAUAUGGUGACCAAGAGAAUGGUGAGUAACUGGUGAAAAUGCCAAGUAUAGCCACAAGUGAUGUGUAGGUGUAGACCCUAAGCAGCCAACAACAACAGGUAACAAGUCCACUGCCUACAGCCCUUAAGCCUUCUGUGUCCACACCCACCAAGGCAGAUGGGCAGAGCAGCAUCGACCAGCACACAACACACCCUCCCAGCUAAAGGGAUGAGCUCAAGGACACCCAGGAUCCAGUCACAGUACUUAGUUUCUUUAAGAAAUCUUGAGUUGCUGAACUGAUUGACAUGGGAUGAGUUGUGGACUAUGCAAAGGGAGUGAAAAUAUGUCAUGUUCCAAUGGAGAUUCAAGAAGCACACAAAAACCAGAAAGCCAGAGAAGAGCUCACUGACCAGGAGGAGAGCACUGAAAAGGAAGGAGCCCCUUAGAAGAGGAAUGGGCUUUGUAUGACCAGCUCUUUCAAGACACUUUAGAAGAAAUAGCUGACUUCAGCUGCCUUUUGUGAUGCUGGAAUUUUUUAAGGCUCUUGGAUCUCCAAUUACAUUAAUUUCUGCAUGUAGAGCCACAGAGAGCACACGUGCACUGACCCUUCCCUCAGAGCCACCUCAGAUUCCCCGGGGGUGGGAAGCCAUGGGAAUGUGUGUGCAGCAGAGGGAACUGCCAGUGCAAACAGAGGUCAAAAUGCAAUUUUACAUUUUUUACUGUAAAUGUCAGUCAUCACAUUUUUUGUAUUCUGUAUUGAUUUUAUAUGUAAAAUAGCCUAUGCCCAAUAAAACAGAUGCAGUGAAGUAAGGUUACCCUCUCCAGCUA
Long non-coding RNA from Manacus vitellinus (golden-collared manakin), 2457 nucleotides. RefSeq lists it as uncharacterized. The transcript is spliced from 3 exons. The record is from RefSeq and is a predicted model, not a curated record. Lineage: Eukaryota; Metazoa; Chordata; Aves; Passeriformes; Pipridae.